This is a long non-coding RNA of Ahaetulla prasina, 447 nucleotides long. RefSeq lists it as uncharacterized. The record is from RefSeq and is a predicted model, not a curated record. The transcript has 3 exons. NCBI's taxonomy places the organism in Eukaryota, Metazoa, Chordata, Lepidosauria, Squamata, Colubridae.
UUGGCCUGACACUGAGGAGCCUUCUCCGGCAGUCACCCACCACAAAGCAGUUUAUUUUCAUUCUGAAGGUAAGGGUCCAGAAAUCCUACAGCAGCUCAAAGGAACACCAUCAUAACCUGCACACAUGUGUUUUAGCAGUGAGAUUCUUGAUUGUCAGAAAUGAGAAAACAUGUCUUUUCUUUGUUGAUUCCAUAGCAUUUGGACCCAGGUGGGAGAUUCUUCUUGCCAGCGCUCAACCAGCUCCUCUAUUGUGGGAAACAUCAUCCCAGGAUCGAUCUUGAUGAAGUCCAGCAAGCCUUCCCUGAUGUUCCCAGGGAAAUCUGGCAGACUGGAACCACCUACGAAAACAUCAAUGAAGGAGAUCUAGAAAUAGAGGAGUUGUGACCUCCACCCUCCGCCGUUGAUCCACCGAUGUUCCAGGAUGGAUGAAGUUCUACUCCAUCUAAG